Molecule: ribosomal RNA, 253 nt
Filed under: uncultured bacterium
Lineage: Bacteria
Description: partial 16S ribosomal RNA
Rfam family: Bacterial small subunit ribosomal RNA
Source: RNAcentral
UACAGGGGGUGCUAGCGUUGUUCGGAAUUACUGGGCGUAAAGGGCUCGUAGGCGGUUUGUCGCGUCGGGAGUGAAAACGCCGUGCUUAACACGGCGCUUGCUUUCGAUACGGGCAGACUAGAGGUAUUCAGGGGAGAACGGAAUUCCUGGUGUAGCGGUGAAAUGCGCAGAUAUCAGGAGGAACACCGGUGGCGAAGGCGGUUCUCUGGGAAUGACCUGACGCUGAGGAGCGAAAGUGUGGGGAGCGAACAGG